UAGCCGUAAACGAUACUCGCUAGGUGUCGGCCACGGUGCGACCGUUGUCGGUGCCGUAGGGAAGCCGUGAAGCGAGCCACCUGGGAAGUACGGCCGCAAGGCUGAAACUAAAGGAAUUGGCGGGGGAGCACAACAAACGGGUGGAGCUUGCGGUUUAAUUGGAUUCAACGCCGGAAAUCUUGCCGGGACCGACAGCAACAUGAAGGCCAAGCUGAAGACUUUGCCGGAUUAGCUGAGAGGAGGUGCAUGGCGUAGUCGUGU
Molecule: ribosomal RNA, 261 nt
Filed under: uncultured archaeon
Lineage: Archaea
Description: partial 16S ribosomal RNA
Rfam family: Archaeal small subunit ribosomal RNA
Source: RNAcentral